UGGGGAAUUUUGGACAAUGGGCGAAAGCCUGAUCCAGCAAUGCAGCGUGUGUGAAGAAGGCCUUCGGGUUGUAAAGCACUGUUGUCCGGAAAGAAAUGGCUCUGGUUAAUACCUGGGGUCGAUGACGGUACCGGAAGAAUAAGGACCGGCUAACUACGUGCCAGCAGCCGCGGUAAUACGUAGGGUCCAAGCGUUAAUCGGAAUUACUGGGCGUAAAGCGUGCGCAGGCGGUUGUGCAAGACCGAUGUGAAAUCCCCGAGCUUAACUUGGGAAUUGGAGUGGUGACUUCACGGAGAGAGUGUGUCAGAGGGAGGUAAAAUUCCACGGAUAGCAGGUAAAUGCGGAGAGCUGUGGAAGAAUACCGAUCGCCAAGUCAGCCCCCUGGGAUAACACUGACGCUCAUGCACGAAAGCGUGGGGAGCAAGCAGG
Molecule: ribosomal RNA, 429 nt
Filed under: Bacillota bacterium
Lineage: Bacteria; Bacillati; Bacillota
Description: Firmicutes bacterium partial 16S ribosomal RNA
Rfam family: Bacterial small subunit ribosomal RNA
Source: RNAcentral